GAAUUUUGCGCAAUGGGCGAAAGCCUGACGCAGCAACGCCGCGUGCGGGAAGAAGGCCCUCGGGUUGUAAACCGCUUUCAGCAGGAACGAAAUUGACGGUACCUGCAGAAGAAGCCCCGGCCAACUACGUGCCAGCAGCCGCGGUGAUACGUAGGGGGCGAGCGUUGUCCGGAUUCAUUGGGCGUAAAGAGCUCGUAGGCGGUUCGGUAAGUCAGAUGUGAAAACUUCGGGCUCAACUCGGAGAGGCCAUCUGAUACUGCUGUGACUUGAGUUCGGUAGAGGAGUGUGGAAUUCCCGGUGUAGAGGUGAAAUGCGCAGAUAUCGGGAGGAACACCAGCGGCGAAGGCGGCACUCUGGGCCGAAACUGACGCUGAGGAGCGAAAGCGUGGGGAGCGAACAG
This 400-nucleotide ribosomal RNA is filed under the name uncultured bacterium. RNAcentral describes it as "bacterial SSU rRNA". It matches the Rfam family "Bacterial small subunit ribosomal RNA", at positions 359 to 775 of the family's 1533-position model. The record is from RNAcentral.